GACGAACGCUGGCGGCGUGCCUAACACAUGCAAGUCGAGGGUUUUAGUAGUAAUACGAAGAACACUGGCGCACGGGUGAGUAACGCGUAGAUCAUCUGCCCCUAACACUGACAUAACAGUUCUAACGGACUGCUAAUAUCAGAUGUGAUAAGCAAUUAUUAAAGGGUAACCGGUUAGGGAGUGAGUCUGCGUCUGAUUAGGUAGUUGGUGAGGUAACGGCUCACCAAGCCUACCGAUCAGUAACUGGUCUGAGAGGACGAACAGUCACACUGGAACUGAGACACGGUCCAGACUCCUACGGGAGGCAGCAGUAGGGAAUAUUGCGCAAUGGACGAAAGUCUGACGCAGCCACGCCGCGUGAGUGAGGAAGGCCUCGGUU
Molecule: ribosomal RNA, 379 nt
Filed under: uncultured bacterium
Lineage: Bacteria
Description: bacterial SSU rRNA
Rfam family: Bacterial small subunit ribosomal RNA
Source: RNAcentral